This is a long non-coding RNA of Spinacia oleracea (spinach), 547 nucleotides long. RefSeq lists it as uncharacterized. Lineage: Eukaryota; Viridiplantae; Streptophyta; Magnoliopsida; Caryophyllales; Amaranthaceae. The transcript is spliced from 3 exons. The record is from RefSeq and is a predicted model, not a curated record.
CAACAACACCCAAGAACCAGUUCAGCUAUACCAAUGCACAAUAGGGGUGUGGGUAUUUAUACCUACCCAAAUGGGUAUCAAAGAAUAGCUACUCCUAUAUCACAACAUUUCCCCACACCACAGAGGCAAAGACCUCCUGCAGCUUUCUAUUCUGAUCAUGGGGGUGAGCAAACCAUCUACUCCUUCCCUGCACAUGACUUCCCAUUGUCACAGACUCAACCAAGUCAAGGACACACAAUAUCAAGCCAAGCAUUGCAGGAUCUUGCAAUGGCUAGAAGAUUAGAAAAAAGACCAUGAGAAAAAUACCUUUUUGUUGAGAAGAGUCAGCUAUAGUGGAGCAACAGAGAAAAAACACAGAGCAGAAGAUGGAGAAGAAAGAAUUUUUUUUUUUAAAGUGUUUUAUUGUUGUUUUGUUGGCCAUGGAAUGUUAAAUACUCUGUUUUUUGAGAGCCUCAACGGCUAUAUUUUUGUAAAAAGCUAACUGAAAUGAAUUUCCCUUUAUUUAAUUAUUGUUAAAUGGUAAAUGUAACUGUUUUUUUGUCGUUUA